CAGUAGCCGCGGUAAUACGAAGGGUGCAAGCGUUACUCGGAAUUACUGGGCGUAAAGCGUGUGUAGGUGGUUGUUUAAGUCUGUCGUGAAAGCCCUGGGCUCAACCUGGGAAUUGCGAUGGAUACUGGGCGACUAGAGUGCGGUAGAGGAUAGUGGAAUUUCCGGUGUAGCAGUGAAAUGCGUAGAGAUCGGAAGGAACAUCUGUGGCGAAGGCGACUAUCUGGGCCAACACUGACACUGAGACACGAAAGCGUGGGGAGCAAACAGGAUUAGAUACCCGAGUAGUCCCUGUCUCUUAUAC
Molecule: ribosomal RNA, 301 nt
Filed under: uncultured bacterium
Lineage: Bacteria
Description: partial 16S ribosomal RNA
Rfam family: Bacterial small subunit ribosomal RNA
Source: RNAcentral